AUCCAGCCGACGAGUCCCAAAUACGACGAAACACACGUCCUGGAU
RNAcentral lists this non-coding RNA (45 nucleotides) under Schistosoma curassoni. The record is from RNAcentral. Lineage: Eukaryota; Metazoa; Platyhelminthes; Trematoda; Strigeidida; Schistosomatidae.